UGGCAACAGCAAGCGCCAGAGCUUGAUCUUGCGCGGGGGAGAAGGGACAGCAGUUGCCUAUAGGGCAAGGCUUGAACGGAUCACGGCAGAUGUAAGCUGACGAGGUGGAGGUGUUCGAAAUGUUCGGCGGGGACCUCCCGGUGAUGCACCAGAGCCGUAAAUGGAAGCGGAAAAUGCGAGGGCGACCUUUCACACAACGUUUCUGUGGGUGCAA
Molecule: non-coding RNA, 214 nt
Filed under: Paenibacillus riograndensis
Lineage: Bacteria; Bacillati; Bacillota; Bacilli; Caryophanales; Paenibacillaceae
Description: GlcN6P sequence
Rfam family: glmS glucosamine-6-phosphate activated ribozyme aptamer
About the family: This entry contains a glucosamine-6-phosphate activated ribozyme that is found in the mRNA for GlmS. GlmS is an enzyme that uses fructose-6-phosphate and glutamine to generate glucosamine-6-phosphate. The ribozyme catalyses self cleavage of the glmS mRNA that is thought to regulate GlmS activity.
Source: RNAcentral